This 301-nucleotide ribosomal RNA is filed under the name uncultured bacterium. Its description in RNAcentral is "partial 16S ribosomal RNA". It matches the Rfam family "Bacterial small subunit ribosomal RNA", at positions 509 to 807 of the family's 1533-position model. The record is from RNAcentral.
CAGUCGCCGCGGUAAUACGAAGGGUGCAAGCGUUAAUCGGAAUUACUGGGCGUAAAGCGUGCGCAGGCGGUUUGUUAAGACAGAUGUGAAAUCCCCGGGCUCAACCUGGGAACUGCAUUUGUGACUGGCAAGCUAGAGUGUGGCAGAGGGGGGUGGAAUUCCGCGUGUAGCAGUGAAAUGCGUAGAUAUGCGGAGGAACACCGAUGGUGAAGGCAGCCCCCUGGGCCAACACUGACGCUCAUGCACGAAAGCGUGGGGAGCAAACAGGAUUAGAUACCCCAGUAGUCCCUGUCUCUUAUAC